UGGGGAAUAUUGCGCAAUGGGCGAAAGCCUGACGCAGCAACGCCGCGUGAGUGAUGAAGGCCUUCGGGUUGUAAAGCUCUUUCGGCGGGGACGAAACGGUCCGUGACAACACCACGGACUAAUGACAGUACUCGCAGAAGAAGCACCGGCUAACUACGUGCCAGCAGCCGCGGUAAUACGUAGGGUGCAGGCGUUAAUCGGAAUUACUGGGCGUAAAGCGUGCGCAGGCGGCUCCUUAAGUCAGAUGUGAAAUCCCCGGGCUUAACCUGGGAACUGCGUUUGAAACUGAGGGGCUAGAGUGUGGAAGAGGGGGGUGGAAUUCCAGGUGUAGCAGUGAAAUGCGUAGAGAUCUGGAGGAACACCUGUGGCGAAGGCGGCCACCUGGGCGGUUACUGACACUGAGGGACGAAAGCAAGGGGAGCAAACAGGAUUAGAUACCCCCGUAGUCCCUGAGCGGGCUGGCAAGGCG
RNAcentral lists this ribosomal RNA (469 nucleotides) under uncultured bacterium. RNAcentral describes it as "bacterial SSU rRNA". It matches the Rfam family "Bacterial small subunit ribosomal RNA", at positions 355 to 822 of the family's 1533-position model. The record is from RNAcentral.